Molecule: long non-coding RNA, 4305 nt
Organism: Leucoraja erinaceus (little skate)
Lineage: Eukaryota; Metazoa; Chordata; Chondrichthyes; Rajiformes; Rajidae
Exons: 3
Source: RefSeq, a predicted model, not a curated record
CAGUACUGGCACCAGGCCUGAGGGAGAUGGGGCACUGGCAUCAGGCAGCUCUGGUACCCAGCAGUACUGGCACCAGGCCUGAGGGAGAUGGGGCACUGACACAGGGCGAGUGAGACAAUCCACUGGCACAGAUGAGUCCUUUCAACCAUAUUGGAAGAAGAAGAGUAAGUUACCAGUGAAGAAGUGCAAUAUUAAGGAUGUGAAGAAACAAUCUGGACAAAACCAUGACCGGAAACCAAAGUCAAACUUGGAAAGGGAAGAUUUCCCCACCAUGUAUCGAUGUCAGUAUAAGGGUUGCUGUGCUGUUUACAGAGGAGUUGAGGGACUUAAGAAACACAUAAAAGAGCAGCAUGAAGAGGUGCGUGAAAGACCUUGCCCCCACCCAGGAUGUUCUCGGUGUUUCUGAUUGAUUGCUACCUGCAGUGCCAUGUAAAGCUGAUCCAUACAGAAGAAAGAACAUCUUUAUAGAUCAGGAGGAAGUGCAAAGGCUUUGGUCACAACUUCGGAAAGACAAAGCACAUUUGAUCAACAAUCUUGAAGCAUUUUGAGCUCUAUCGUAUGACCAAGGAUUUAGAGAGAGAGAAGCUGAACAUUUUGAAACAGAUAGACAUCUUGAAAGAGAUUAUGCAUAACCCUAUCCAGGAAGACAAUGUCUCAGGCCUGGUGAGUAAUCAGUGUAAUGACAAUCAGGACAUUGAUGAGGAUGGCAAUGAUGACGUUUCUGAUAAGAAGGACAAUUGCCAUUUUGUUCCCAACCCUGACCAGAUCGAUGUGAUGGUAACAGCAGAGGACACAACUGCAAGGACAACUUUGACAACAAAAUCCCAGAUAUCAAUGACAUGUGCACCGAGAACAGCGCCAUCAGUGAGACUGACCUGAGGAAGUUCCAAAGGGGACGGUGCAGAUCGUUCCUAACUGCAUAAUGCGCAACAAAGGCAGGGGAUUACUACAGACCGCCAACUCUGACCCUGGCCUUGCUGUCGGAUUUGAGGAGUUCAACAUCAUCAACUUCAGUGGCACCUUCUACGUCAACACAGACCACAAUCUAUGGAGGCUUUAUCUUUGGCUUCCAGUCCAGCAGCCGCUUCUACGUGGUUAUGUGGAAGCAGCCCACCCAAACCUACUGGGAGGAGAAGCUGUCCAAACCCAUGGAUACGCUAGCGUCUAGAUCAAGGUGGUGAACCCCACCACGAGCAGAGAGGGGGGGAAGCACCUGCGACUUAAUUGACAACCAUCCUGAUAAUGGUUUAGGGUCCUUGUUUAAGAAACAAACUUUGACAGUAGGGAUCCUUCAUUAUGUUGCUGGCUCUGGAUCUGCACUUCCUGGUGUAUAGGUCUUGCAGGGGGGGGUAAGUGUAGUUCCCAUAGUGCGUUCGGCCGAACGCACUACUCUCUGCAGAGCCUUCCUGUCCUGACCAGAGCUGUUCCCAAACCAGAUUGAAAUGUUACCGGACAAGAUGCUUUCUACAGCCCCAGAGUAGAAGCCAGGGCCGGAUUUAGAUGAAGAGAGGCCCUAAGCUGUUCCACUUGUGAGGCCCCCUCCGCAUUGGUUUUCAGCGCUGGCGGCGAGGCAGCAACUGGACAGCCAUGGCGGCCAAAUCUCCCACAAUUCAAAGCGAGGGAGAAAGUGCCCAGCGCCGACCAAUUGCCGUUGCAGUGCGCAUGCGCAGGGCGGCCGACGAUGUGCUGGCCGUGGUUGUGGGCCUGUGAAGGGGGGAGGACGUGCAGGCCGCAGCAAUGCGCAUGUGCAAGGCGGCCUGCCGUGCCGGCGGAUGAGGAGCAAGCGGAGCCCAGCGGCCCGGACACGGAUAGCGGGGGGAGAUGGAGAUAGAGAGAUAGAGAGGGGGGCCCGCCCAGAGUUGAACGGUAGGUGUCCUAUCUUGGUCGGAGCCCCCCCUAGACCUCGAGGCCCUAAGCUUAAGCCUCUAGCUUUUAGGUAAAUCCGGCCCUGGUAGAAGCACUCGAGGAUCCUCAGAGAGACUCUGAAUUUCCUCAGUUGCCUGAGGUGGUAAAGGCGCUGCAUUUGCCUUACUCACCAGUGCAGCAGUGUGUGUUGUCAAUGUCAGAUCCUCCGUGAUGUGGAUUCCCAGGUAUUGUAAGCUGCUCACCCUAUCCACAGCAGUCCCAUUUAUCUCCAGUGGCAUGUACUUCCUCAGAUGUUGAGUCUUUCUAAAGUCCACAAUCAGCUCCUUAGUUUUUGUGACAUUCAAGAGGAGGCUGUUGUCCUGAGACCAGAGUGCCAGAUCAGCCAUCUCCUCCCGGUAGGCCUUCUCAUCGUUAUUGGAGAUCAGGCCCACCACCACAGUGUCAUCAGCAAACUUGAUGAUUGAGUUGGAGCUGAACCUGGCCACAAAGUCAUGUGUGUACAGGGAGUACAGUAGGGGGCUAAGGACGCAACCCUGGGGGGAUCCUGUGUUCAGGGUGAGGGGGUUGGAGGUAUGUCUCCCCAUCUUGACCACCUGGGGCCUGGCGGUGAGAAUGUCCAGGACCCAGGCACACAGGGGAGUGUUCAGCCCCAGGUUCAGCAGCUUAUCAGCAAGUCUGGUGGGGACUAUGGUAUUGAAAGCUGAACUGAAAUCAAUGAACAGCAUCCUCACAUAGCCCCCCUUCUGGCUGUCAAGGUGAGAGAGAGUGAUGUGCAGAGCCUGGGAGACCGCAUCAUCCGUGGAUCUGUUCGGAUGGUAUGCGAACUGCAGCAAGUCCAUGGAACGAGGGAGGAAGACGUAGAUGUGGUUCUUGAUCAGCCUCUCGAAACAUUUCAUGACUACCGAGGUGAGGGCCACCAGUCGUAGUCAUUCAAGCAAGCUGGAGAGGCAUUCUUAGGCACUGGUACAAUGGUGGAUCUUUUGAAUGUCUUCCAAAAAAAAAAAUUAGGGGACCAAAACAGCUCACAAUACUCCAGGUGUGGUCUCACUAGUGCCCUAUACAACUGCAGAAGGACCUCUUUGCUCCUAUACUAACCUCUUCUUGUUAUGAAGGCCAACAUGCCAUUCGCAUUCUUCACUGCCUGCUAUGCCUGAUUGUUUACUUUCAUUGACUGAUGAACAAGGACCCCCAGAUUCCGUUGUACUUCCCCUUUUCCCAACUUGACAUGAUAUAGAUAAUUAAACAAAUUAGCCUUAAUGGUUGAUAAAGAAUAGUGAAAGCCCUGGGGCCAUUAGCAUGAAAACAUACCUUUGGCUCACCAGUCUGUGCCAAUCUUCAAGCAUCCAUUUAUACUAAUUAUACACAAUUUUUUUUAAUUUUCCUUAAAUUGCCACCAGCUUGCCCCUGAAUUCUGCCACUCACCCACACACACGCUAGGGGCAAAUUACAAUUGCCAGUUGCUAAAUUACAGUCUUUGGGAUGUGGGAGGAAACCAGAGCACCCAGAGGAAGCCUGCGUGCUCACAGAAAGAAUGUUAAAACUGUGCACACACACAGCGUUGGAGGGCAGGAUUAACUUGGGUCAUUAAAGGUGUGAAGGCAGCAGCUCUACUAGCUGUGCCACUUUACUUACCACCCUUAGAUAAUAGUAACCAAUAUAUAGUACAUAUAAAUCUAUUAUUGGACGUGUACUUUUCUAUGUGGGGGAGGGGGGCAGGGUAAGGGGGAAACAGUCUCCCAGUCUCUUCCUGGCGGGGACGCGAAUAUUUCUCCGAGUCGCGUCCUCGCCCCCCCACCUCGCGGCCUACCAGCUAGAUCGGAGCGGCCUUUCCUGCCGGGGAACAGGAACCGGACCAGGGCUGCUACAGCGGCGGCGCAGCGCUGGAGUCACCGCGGAGCGGGCGAUGCCUACCUGGGUCGCUGUUUGCAGCUCCGGAGCAUUGGGCCGUUGCUCCAACAUCGUGGAGCUCUGGUGCAGAGAGCUUCCAACGCGGGCGGCGCUGAACAACAUCGUGGAGUCCUGGGGCACCUUGCAGAGGGCCUACAGCAGCAGUAUCCACCCGGUGCAGCCUGCGAAUAUUGGAAGCCGCCGACUCCGGUAGGAGGGGGCCGACUCUGGUGUCCACGCGGCUGAGGACGUCCCGCAGCCCCAACGUCGGACUUGUAUCACCCCGGCGAGCGGUCCUGGACAUCGGGCCGCCCGUAGCUGCAACUGCGGAGGGCUUGGGGAGGCCCUGACCACGGAGAACAGUGGAGGAAGAGACUGACUUUGGUGCCUUCCCACACAGUGGGAAACUUUGAUUCUGCUGUGUGGGGAUGUUUUGUGUUAAAUUCUAUAGUGUGUUGAGUCCUGUUUAUUUUUAUUGUAUGGCUGUAUGGGAAUUCAUUUCACUGUGCCAUCUGGCACAUGUGACAAUUAAAUCUAUCUUGAAUCUUGAAG